Molecule: ribosomal RNA, 497 nt
Filed under: uncultured bacterium
Lineage: Bacteria
Description: partial 16S ribosomal RNA
Rfam family: Bacterial small subunit ribosomal RNA
Source: RNAcentral
GAUGAACGCUGGCGGCGUGCCUAAUACAUGCAAGUCGAGCGAACUGACGAGAAGCUUGCUUCUCUGAUGUUAGCGGCGGACGGGUGAGUAACACGUGGAUAACCUACCUAUAAGACUGGGAUAACUUCGGGAAACCGGAGCUAAUACCGGAUAAUAUUUUGAACCGCAUGGUUCAAAAGUGAAAGACGGUCUUGCUGUCACUUAUAGAUGGAUCCGCGCUGCAUUAGCUAGUUGGUAAGGUAACGGCUUACCAAGGCAACGAUGCAUAGCCGACCUGAGAGGGUGAUCGGCCACACUGGAACUGAGACACGGUCCAGACUCCUACGGGAGGCAGCAGUAGGGAAUCUUCCGCAAUGGGCGAAAGCCUGACGGAGCAACGCCGCGUGAGUGAUGAAGGUCUUCGGAUCGUAAAACUCUGUUAUUAGGGAAGAACAUAUGUGUAAGUAACUGUGCACAUCUUGACGGUACCUAAUCAGAAAGCCACAGCUAACUACGUG